Molecule: ribosomal RNA, 279 nt
Filed under: uncultured bacterium
Lineage: Bacteria
Description: partial 16S ribosomal RNA
Rfam family: Bacterial small subunit ribosomal RNA
Source: RNAcentral
UGCCAGCAGCCGCGGUAAUACGGAGGAUCCAAGCGUUAUCCGGAAUCAUUGGGUUUAAAGGGUCCGUAGGUGGAUAAUUAAGUCAGAGGUGAAAUCUUGCAGCUCAACUGUAAAAUUGCCUUUGAUACUGGUUAUCUUGAGUUAUUAUGAAGUAGUUAGAAUAUGUAGUGUAGCGGUGAAAUGCAUAGAUAUUACAUAGAAUACCAAUUGCGAAGGCAGAUUACUAAUAAUCAACUGACACUGAUGGACGAAAGCGUGGGUAGCGAACAGGAUUAGAUA